GACGAACGCUGGCGGCGUGCCUAAUACAUGCAAGUCGAACGCUUUUUCUUUCACCGGAGCUUGCUCCACCGAAAGAAAAAGAGUGGCGAACGGGUGAGUAACACGUGGGUAACCUGCCCAUCAGAAGGGGAUAACACUUGGAAACAGGUGCUAAUACCGUAUAACACUAUUUUCCGCAUGGAAGAAAGUUGAAAGGCGCUUUUGCGUCACUGAUGGAUGGACCCGCGGUGCAUUAGCUAGUUGGUGAGGUAACGGCUCACCAAGGCAACGAUGCAUAGCCGACCUGAGAGGGUGAUCGGCCACACUGGGACUGAGACACGGCCCAGACUCCUACGGGAGGCAGCAGUAGGGAAUCUUCGGCAAUGGACGAAAGUCUGACCGAGCAACGCCGCGUGAGUGAAGAAGGUUUUCGGAUCGUAAAACUCUGUU
RNAcentral lists this ribosomal RNA (429 nucleotides) under Enterococcus casseliflavus. Its description in RNAcentral is "bacterial SSU rRNA". It matches the Rfam family "Bacterial small subunit ribosomal RNA", at positions 28 to 437 of the family's 1533-position model. The record is from RNAcentral. Lineage: Bacteria; Bacillati; Bacillota; Bacilli; Lactobacillales; Enterococcaceae.